AAUCCUCCCAUGUAAAUCCAACAUGGCGGCGCCCCUUAGGACAUUGUGUAGUACAGCUUAGAGGCAUUCCAGACGUUGUUUUACUACGACUUGUGGGGCACAGGCCGGAAUCAAGUGGAUGACAGAAAAUGGUCUUGUCCACAGAAAUGGUAUUGCCCGCUGAAAUGGUCUUGCCCGCUGAAAUGGUCUUGCCUGCAGUGGAACAGAGUAUGGUCCCCUGACAGAUAUCCCUGACUGGUUCUUUGCAGAUGGCCGGUCGGCACCCCCACUGAAAGAACAGCAGAGGAGAAAGCAGGAGAGAGAGACAGAAGUGUAGUGAAUCUCAGCCCUAAGGUGGAUGAAGGGAUGGAAGUGUGGAGGGAGAAACGGGAAGAAGCUAAAAGGAUCGAGGAACGCAAUAAAUCUCUUCUGCUAAAACCCAAAGGGAACCUUUUAUUGAAGAAAAAUAAACAAGAAAUCAUAUUUUCCAUUCCAGCUGACAUUACUUAUUAACAAAAUGGUGGAGUUGGUGUAUGGCUUUGUAGUACUUAUUUUGCCCUUUUCAAUGUUUUUCAAAAGUAAACUUUAAUGUAUAUUUACAACGUA
Oncorhynchus masou masou (cherry salmon) is the source of this 585-nucleotide long non-coding RNA. RefSeq lists it as uncharacterized. Lineage: Eukaryota; Metazoa; Chordata; Actinopteri; Salmoniformes; Salmonidae. The record is from RefSeq and is a predicted model, not a curated record. The transcript is spliced from 5 exons.